AUGAAAAUGAUGAGCUGGAACUGUCGAGGCUUGGGUCAGCCUUGGACAGUCCAAGAACUUGUGUGUCUCUCAAAGAUGCAUCGACCCAAUGUUAUCUUUCUUUCCGAAACUAGACAAAAUAAAAAGUAUGUUGAGAGUUUGCGUUAUCGAUUGGGCUUGAAAUAUGUUUAUAUUGUUUCUGUACAAGGAAAAGGUGGGGGCCUGGCAGUUUUUUGGGAUGAGAAU
RNAcentral lists this ribosomal RNA (225 nucleotides) under Triticum aestivum (bread wheat). RNAcentral's name for it is "partial small subunit ribosomal RNA". The record is from RNAcentral. Lineage: Eukaryota; Viridiplantae; Streptophyta; Magnoliopsida; Poales; Poaceae.